RNAcentral lists this long non-coding RNA (2146 nucleotides) under Drosophila guanche. Lineage: Eukaryota; Metazoa; Arthropoda; Insecta; Diptera; Drosophilidae. The record is from RNAcentral.
CUUUGUUUCUGUUUUUGAAUUUUAAUUCUUCUAUUUAAAUCUUUAAUUCGAAAUUGUAUCCUCAUUUUAAAAAAUAAUUCUUUGGUUUUUGUAUCCAAUUCAGUGUUUUUUUAACUUUUUAUCAUUUUUUCCAGCAAAAUUCGGCUUCUUUAGCCCACCUGCUGACACCAGAUCCACAUAAGUGAAUGAGGUGGCUGUGGUGUUUGAAAAUAGCUGAGUUGCCAGCUUAACUCUCUGACUGCCCGCAGAGCGCACGUUAAGAUGAUCAGAUGUAACAGAUGUUAACUUCCCACAUAAUGGAAAGGUCCGAUGUGGAAGCGUGGUUCAUUGCUCGCCUCACGGUUUGCUGGGUUAAAACUUUCCUAUCAACGACAAGCCCUGAAUCAAGGAAGUGAUUCCUUAUCAACUUCACAAGAUGGGGUACGUCUACAAACACAUACACUUUUCCAGUAGUUCCAAUUUAAAAAAUAUUUAUAAAUUAGUCAGAGAAGUCUAAAGUUUUGCUUACUUCAUACCAGGCGAGAUUCCAAGACUUGUCCACAAUUUGUGGUUCCCGGGACCCAUAUCGUUAACGAUUCCGACGACAUGAUACCCUACCAUGUAGAGCCUUUAAUGAGCAUGUUCAAUGUGGAUAUCAUCAUUUUCUUAUCAAAGUUGAAAUAUAUCGGCUGCUUCCAAGACUUGCGCAAGCCUUGUGCCAUUACGACUUUAACAUAGUUUCGUUGUUUUUGCACUGCUUCCAAAGAGUGGUCGUACUCAUAAUUUGUCUCGACUUUCAUCUCGUCAAAAAACAAAAUACACACUUUGUCCUCCUCGUCAGUGUAAACGGCAUUUCCCAUCAAGGAUAUGACAAAAUCUAAAAUGCCUGGUUGUACAUUCACUGAAUGCAACCAUCUGUCCAAAGUGGAUAAGGAUGGAAGUGGAAACCCCUUUUUGAGCAAAUGGCGAUAUGCCCGGGGACCAGCAGCAUGAAGAAAAAUCGCAUUCGAACUGUCAUCUCGAUUCCAUAAUACCCUUUUUCCGCCGUUCUCAAGUUCUCUCUAACUUGCGAAUUCGUGAAUAUUGAAUAAACUGAAGCUUUAAAUGUCUGAGGUUUUCCGAGUUGAGAGCUUUGCAUUUUCCCUUUGCAAGUCUGCAACUUGUUUUUGCAAACGCAAAUUUUCCAAUGCAAGCGCAGAAUCAAGUAAUUCUUGUCUGCAAAUUAAUCAUAAUAAUAUCCACAAAAAAGGAAAUCAAUGUUAAACAUACUCGGUUUGAGAGCUAAACUCAAAAACUGUAUCGCCACAAGCUGAUGCCAUAUGUUCUGUGAACACUUGAUUUGCUUCUGGUUUCUGGGGUACGGCAGUUGGUAUCAGCCAUCUCCGCUUUGCUCCAUUUACGGUCGUUCUGUAAAAAAAGUCGGAAUCACUAAAAUGUUUCCCACAAAUUUUANAUCAAGGAUAUGACAAAAUCUAAAAUGCCUGGUUGUACAUUCACUGAAUGCAACCAUCUGUCCAAAGUGGAUAAGGAUGGAAGUGGAAACCCCUUUUUGAGCAAAUGGCGAUAUGCCCGGGGACCAGCAGCAUGAAGAAAAAUCGCAUUCGAACUGUCAUCUCGAUUCCAUAAUACCCUUUUUCCGCCGUUCUCAAGUUCUCUCUAACUUGCGAAUUCGUGAAUAUUGAAUAAACUGAAGCUUUAAAUGUCUGAGGUUUUCCGAGUUGAGAGCUUUGCAUUUUCCCUUUGCAAGUCUGCAACUUGUUUUUGCAAACGCAAAUUUUCCAAUGCAAGCGCAGAAUCAAGUAAUUCUUGUCUGCAAAUUAAUCAUAAUAAUAUCCACAAAAAAGGAAAUCAAUGUUAAACAUACUCGGUUUGAGAGCUAAACUCAAAAACUGUAUCGCCACAAGCUGAUGCCAUAUGUUCUGUGAACACUUGAUUUGCUUCUGGUUUCUGGGGUACGGCAGUUGGUAUCAGACAUCUCCGCUUUGCUCCAUUUACGGUCGUUCUGUAAAAAAAGUCGGAAUCACUAAAAUGUUUCCCACAAAAGUUUCCAUUCAAAGUUUUGGAUCGGCAUAGCAAACAAUAUGUUGCAGACAUGUUUAUUUCUAAUAAUAAACGAGAGGGACGUGUGAGACGCUUCUUACGCGUCACAACUUUUAUACCCGGCACU